AAAGUGUCUAAGCCAGAUGUAAAAAUAUUAUUACCAAGUUGUUGUGAUUCACCAUCUGAUAGUGGCGGUCCACCGGCGAGAAGACUUGUCCAAAGCCAUACAUUCCUAGCUGCUGCAAUGAGGGGUGCGGAUGCUCUUUGUGGCUGUGCUAGAAGAAUAUUGUAUCUCCUCAUCCGCAACUGAUGGAGAGCAUUAGAAAAAUCCCGAUCACCAGAAAUUAACAAAUAAUUAGCAGGAGCAGGAUUGUCCACUGCCCAGAACAACAUAUCCACGAGAAUCUUCUUGUCACUGGCAUCUUUAACACCAGCGGGAACGUGAUUGAGUGCGAUGCCGGUACUAGACAGAGCCUGCUGGACAGCUGAGUUAAUCCGAUUGGUAUCCCCAUAGGCAGAAAUAGAAACCGGCCCACAAUAAUUCAUCUUCGCCAAAGCAGAGCUUAUGUUCUGAGCUAUGGCAUGUGGGUCGCAUUCUCUGGGUACCUGGCAAUUCUCUAUAUCCCACCACACCGAGGUCUUCGCCGUAACAUACUGCGCCUCCGCUCUUCCACCACCCAUAAUUUCUUUGAUCAAUCCGGUAAUUGGGUAUCGAUCAACCCAGGCACUGGUUAUUCUACCAACUGCGGUGGUACAGAGGGGGAUCGCUUUGGCUUCCACAAAAACCAAAGGCUAACAACUUAGCACAAGAU
RNAcentral lists this unclassified non-coding RNA (685 nucleotides) under Hevea brasiliensis (rubber tree). Lineage: Eukaryota; Viridiplantae; Streptophyta; Magnoliopsida; Malpighiales; Euphorbiaceae. The record is from RNAcentral.